GGGUGUGACUGCGUACCUUUUGUAUAAUGGGUCAGCGACUUAUAUUCUGUAGCAAGGUUAACCGAAUAGGGGAGCCGGAGGGAAACCGAGUCUUAAUUGGGCGUUAAGUUGCAGGGUAUAGACCCGAAACCCGGUGAUCUAGCCAUGGGCAGGUUGAAGGUUGGGUAACACUAACUGGAGGACCGAACCGACUAAUGUUGAAAAAUUAGCGGAUGACCUGUGGCUGGGGGUGAAAGGCCAAUCAAACCGGGAGAUAGCUGGUUCUCCCCGAAAGCUAUUUAGGUAGCGCCUCGUGAAUUCAUCUCCGGGGGUAGAGCACUGUUUCGGCUAGGGGGCCAUCCCGGCUUACCAACCCGAUGCAAACUGCGAAUACCGGAGAAUGUUAUCACGGGAGACACACGGCGGGUGCUAACGUCCGUCGUGAAGAGGGAAACAACCCAGACCGCCAGCUAAGGUCCCAAAGUCAUGGUUAAGUGGGAAACGAUGUGGGAAGGCCCAGACAGCCAGGAUGUUGGCUUAGAAGCAGCCAUCAUUUAAAGAAAGCGUAAUAGCUCACUGGUCGAGUCGGCCUGCGCGGAAGAUGUAACGGGGCUAAACCAUGCACCGAAGCUGCGGCAGCGACACUGUGUGUUGUUGGGUAGGGGAGCGUUCUGUAAGCCUGUGAAGGUGUGUCGUGAGGCAUGCUGGAGGUAUCAGAAGUGCGAAUGCUGACAUAAGUAACGAUAAAGCGGGUGAAAAGCCCGCUCGCCGGAAGACCAAGGGUUCCUGUCCAACGUUAAUCGGGGCAGGGUGAGUCGACCCCUAAGGCGAGGCCGAAAGGCGUAGUCGAUGGGAAACGGGUUAAUAUUCCCGUACUUGGUGUUACUGCGAAGGGGGGACGGAGAAGGCUAUGUUGGCCGGGCGACGGUUGUCCCGGUUUAAGCGUGUAGGUGUGUGUUCCAGGUAAAUCCGGUUCACUUUAACACUGAGGCGUGACGACGAGGCACUACGGUGCUGAAGCAACAAAUGCCCUGCUUCCAGGAAAAGCCUCUAAGCAUCAGGUAACAUCAAAUCGUACCCCAAACCGACACAGGUGGUCAGGUAGAGAAUACCAAGGCGCUUGAGAGAACUCGGGUGAAGGAACUAGGCAAAAUGGUGCCGUAACUUCGGGAGAAGGCACGCUGACACGUAGGUGAAGUGAUUUACUCAUGGAGCUGAAGUCAGUCGAAGAUACCAGCUGGCUGCAACUGUUUAUUAAAAACACAGCACUGUGCAAACACGAAAGUGGACGUAUACGGUGUGACGCCUGCCCGGUGCCGGAAGGUUAAUUGAUGGGGUCAGCGCAAGCGAAGCUCCUGAUCGAAGCCCCGGUAAACGGCGGCCGUAACUAUAACGGUCCUAAGGUAGCGAAAUUCCUUGUCGGGUAAGUUCCGACCUGCACGAAUGGCGUAAUGAUGGCCAGGCUGUCUCCACCCGAGACUCAGUGAAAUUGAACUCGCUGUGAAGAUGCAGUGUACCCGCGGCAAGACGGAAAGACCCCGUGAACCUUUACUAUAGCUUGACACUGAACAUUGAGCCUUGAUGUGUAGGAUAGGUGGGAGGCUUUGAAGUGUGGACGCCAGUCUGCAUGGAGCCGACCUUGAAAUACCACCCUUUAAUGUUUGAUGUUCUAACGUGGACCCGUUACCCGGGUUGCGGACAGUGUCUGGUGGGUAGUUUGACUGGGGCGGUCUCCUCCUAAAGAGUAACGGAGGAGCACGAAGGUUGGCUAAUCCUGGUCGGACAUCAGGAGGUUAGUGCAAUGGCAUAAGCCAGCUUGACUGCGAGCGUGACGGCGCGAGCAGGUGCGAAAGCAGGUCAUAGUGAUCCGGUGGUUCUGAAUGGAAGGGCCAUCGCUCAACGGAUAAAAGGUACUCCGGGGAUAACAGGCUGAUACCGCCCAAGAGUUCAUAUCGACGGCGGUGUUUGGCACCUCGAUGUCGGCUCAUCACAUCCUGGGGCUGAAGUAGGUCCCAAGGGUAUGGCUGUUCGCCAUUUAAAGUGGUACGCGAGCUGGGUUUAGAACGUCGUGAGACAGUUCGGUCCCUAUCUGCCGUGGGCGCUGGAGAACUGAGGGGGGCUGCUCCUAGUACGAGAGGACCGGAGUGGACGCAUCACUGGUGUUCGGGUUGUCAUGCCAAUGGCACUGCCCGGUAGCUAAAUGCGGAAGAGAUAAGUGCUGAAAGCAUCUAAGCACGAAACUUGCCCCGAGAUGAGUUCU
Molecule: ribosomal RNA, 2239 nt
Filed under: Salmonella enterica subsp. enterica serovar Enteritidis str. 648901 39-2
Lineage: Bacteria; Pseudomonadati; Pseudomonadota; Gammaproteobacteria; Enterobacterales; Enterobacteriaceae
Also listed under: 1 other name
Description: bacterial LSU rRNA
Rfam family: Bacterial large subunit ribosomal RNA
Source: RNAcentral